GAUGAACGCUGGCGGCGUGCCUAAUACAUGCAAGUCGAGCGAACAGAUAAGGAGCUUGCUCCUUUGACGUUAGCGGCGGACGGGUUAGUAACACGUGGAUAACCUACCUAUAAGACUGGGAUAACUUCGGGAAACCGGAGCUAAUACCGGAUAACAUAUUGAACCGCAUGGUUCAAUAGUGAAAGGCGGCUUUGCUGUCACUUAUAGAUGGAUCCGCGCCGUAUUAGCUAGUUGGUAAGGUAACGGCUUACCAAGGCAACGAUACGUAGCCGACCUGAGAGGGUGAUCGGCCACACUGGAACUGAGACACGGUCCAGACUCCUACGGGAGGCAGCAGUAGGGAAUCUUCCGCAAUGGGCGAAAGCCUGACGGAGCAACGCCGCGUGAGUGAUGAAGGUCUUCGGAUCGUAAAACUCUGAUAUCAGGGAAGAACAAAUGUGUAAGUAACUGUGCACAUCUUGACGGUACCUGAUCAGAAAGCCACGGCUAACUACGUG
Molecule: ribosomal RNA, 497 nt
Filed under: uncultured bacterium
Lineage: Bacteria
Description: partial 16S ribosomal RNA
Rfam family: Bacterial small subunit ribosomal RNA
Source: RNAcentral